GUGGGGAAUCUUGCGCAAUGGGCGAAAGCCUGACGCAGCCAUGCCGUGUGAAUGAUGAAGGUCUUAGGAUUGUAAAAUUCUUUCACCGGGGACGAUAAUGACGGUACCCGGAGAAGAAGCCCCGGCUAACUUCGUGCCAGCAGCCGCGGUAAUACGAAGGGGGCUAGCGUUGCUCGGAAUUACUGGGCGUAAAGGGCGCGUAGGCGGACAGUUUAGUCAGAGGUGAAAGCCCAGGGCUCAACCUUGGAAUUGCCUUUGAUACUGGCUGUCUUGAGUACGGGAGAGGUGAGUGGAACUCCGAGUGUAGAGGUGAAAUUCGUAGAUAUUCGGAGGAACACCAGUGGCGAAGGCGGCUCACUGGCUCGAUACUGACGCUGAGGUGCGAAAGCGUGGGGAGCAAACAGGAUUAGAAACCCGUGUAGUCC
Molecule: ribosomal RNA, 425 nt
Filed under: uncultured bacterium
Lineage: Bacteria
Description: partial 16S ribosomal RNA
Rfam family: Bacterial small subunit ribosomal RNA
Source: RNAcentral